GUUGCAAAAGAAGUAGGUAGCUUAACCUUCGGGAGGGCGCUUACCACUUUGUGAUUCAUGACUGGGGUGAAGUCGUAACAAGGUAACCGUAGGGGAACCUGCGGUUGGAUCACCUCCUUACCUUAAAGAA
Molecule: ribosomal RNA, 130 nt
Filed under: Escherichia coli
Lineage: Bacteria; Pseudomonadati; Pseudomonadota; Gammaproteobacteria; Enterobacterales; Enterobacteriaceae
Also listed under: 3 other names
Description: partial 16S ribosomal RNA
Rfam family: Bacterial small subunit ribosomal RNA
Source: RNAcentral